UACGGAGGGAGCUAGCGUUGUUCGGAAUUACUGGGCGUAAAGCGCACGUAGGCGGCUCAGCAAGUCAGGGGUGAAAUCCCGGGGCUCAACCCCGGAACUGCCCUUGAAACUGCUAAGCUAGAAUCUUGGAGAGGCGAGUGGAAUUCCGAGUGUAGAGGUGAAAUGCGCAGAUAUCAGGAAGAACACCCGUGGCGAAGGCGGCUCUCUGGAACGCAACUGACGCUGAGACGCGAAAGCGUGGGGAGCAAACAGG
This 253-nucleotide ribosomal RNA is filed under the name uncultured bacterium. RNAcentral describes it as "partial 16S ribosomal RNA". It matches the Rfam family "Bacterial small subunit ribosomal RNA", at positions 524 to 776 of the family's 1533-position model. The record is from RNAcentral.